GAGGUACUGGAUAAAUCUGUGUAGUACUUCAAGUAUAAUUAAGGGAAAAAAUAUACUGUAUAUGGAAGAGGCCCUACUUUAGGUGUGGUUUAAUAGAGUGGAUUUGAAUUGUUCAUGUUAACACGUAGGCAGGCUAACCUGUAGUGUACUUAGACACCCUUUAUGCAUAUGGUUUUGAGCCUAAGGCAUUGACCUUUAGCUUUGGUCUUCAGCAGGCUGGAACGAGCAUAUGCAAAACAACAUUUGAAUAAAACUGCACUCAGGUUUGUGUCACCGACGACUCCACAGUCUGCACGGCUGGAGUCGGGUUUAUCAUUCCGAAGAAUUCUGCUUUACAAUCCCAGAUUUACGAAAAGCUACUCAAAACACCUCUUCACACAGUGGCGUGCUAUUCAAGUAGCUGGCCUAGACACUUUGAAGGAGCUGUUAGAGAUUACAUCACCCAAGCCUGGAGCUUUUAUACUAAUAAAUAAAUGGGUUGAGACACUCUAAUAGACCAUUUCCUUUCCAGAGCUAUCCUCUUGCCUGUAAGGCAUGCUUUCGACAAAACCGCGUGUGUGUGUUUGUGAGAGCGCACGUGCGUGUGUGCUGGUAACACUUUGCUUUUAGCUGAAAAUAUGACAGACCUGAAACACCACAGAAUGGGCAGCUUUUUUUUUUUUUUUUUCCCUCCUCAAAACACAAAAUGCUGAACAUUGAAGUUUCGAGGUUAAAUAGAUGGGGGUUUUGUUUUCAUGUUAAUCUGCCUCUUUGUUGCUGCCGCAGUUCUUUGCACUUCUUUUCUUUCUCACACUUGUUCAUGUUGGUCAUUAAAGGCAAACAAUAGGCUGCCUGGCUCCCUCGCUCUUCGAUGAGAGCAAAAUAUCACUUCACAAAUAAACCGUCGUGCCCUGCCGCUGCCCUAUCGUCUUUCUGUCUGCCCUCAUCAUUGCCUCUCUCAAGCCCUGUUCCCAUACAAACAGUAAUAAAUGUUCUUGUCAAUUUUCCUCUCCUGUGAAAGAGAAGAUCCAGUCUCAGUUUUUGAAGCAGGAUGCCGAGCUGGGGAUGUUUAGCAAAUAAGAAGCGGCCACUUGUGUAACUUGAUAUUUCAAUUAGUAUUUUGACAAUUAAUUAACCAAAUACAUCUAUUUGGUGUCUUUCUUGCUACAAGAUUACAGUGAUCUGAUUUUUGAAUAAAAUCUUUUUUUUUUUGCCCUUUCUGAACUUCUGAAGUCCUGGAUUCGGUUAUAAAGUCAAAAUUUUGAAGUGACCAUUCCAGAUAGGAACGUUUUCCGUUUUGGAAAACCACAGCAAAGUUUCUCCUGUUUCAUGCCUUCCUAAAUGACACACAGCUUUUUUUAUUACCAUUUCUACUCUUUCCAAGAUUUUUUUUUUUUUUUUUUUUUAACUAACAAACUUAGCUGCCCUCCCCCUCCACUUCUGUGUUUUUCUUCUCCACUCCUUUUCCCACUCCCCUCCUCCAGUGAACCAGAAUGUCAUUUCAAGCAUGUCUAACCACGGGAAGCCUUUUAAAAAACUGUGACAGCAUUUGCCCCCAAUCCCCAAUAGCUGUGAAGCCCUGUGUGUGUAAGCAAGUAAUGAAUGUCUGUGGUGAUUUGCCUGAGAACAGAAUAUCAUAUGCAGAUUGAGGUAUGAUCCCUUUAAAAGCUGUUACUUUAAAGGUACUGUAGACCAGUGCUCCAUGACACACACACACA
This is a long non-coding RNA of Astatotilapia calliptera (eastern happy), 1697 nucleotides long. The record is from Ensembl. Lineage: Eukaryota; Metazoa; Chordata; Actinopteri; Cichliformes; Cichlidae.